This 460-nucleotide ribosomal RNA is filed under the name uncultured bacterium. Its description in RNAcentral is "partial 16S ribosomal RNA". It matches the Rfam family "Bacterial small subunit ribosomal RNA", at positions 338 to 795 of the family's 1533-position model. The record is from RNAcentral.
GCUACGGGAGGCAGCAGUGAGGAAUAUUGGUCAAUGGACGAGAGUCUGAACCAGCCAAGUAGCGUGAAGGAUGACUGCCCUAUGGGUUGUAAACUUCUUUUAUAAAGGAAUAAAACGAGGCACGUGUGCCUUUUUGCAUGUACUUUAUGAAUAAGGAUCGGCUAACUCCGUGCCAGCAGCCGCGGUAAUACGGAGGAUCCGAGCGUUAUCCGGAUUUAUUGGGUUUAAAGGGAGCGUAGAUGGGUUGUUAAGUCAGUUGUGAAAGUUUGCGGCUCAACCGUAAAAUUGCAAUUGAUACUGGCAGUCUUGAGUACAGUUGAGGUAGGCGGAAUUCGUGGUGUAGCGGUGAAAUGCUUAGAUAGCACGAAGAACUCCGAUUGCGAAGGCAGCUUACUAAACUGCCACUGACAUUGAUGCUCGAAAGUGUGGGUAUCAAACAGGAUUAGAUACCCUUGUAGUC